RNAcentral lists this ribosomal RNA (253 nucleotides) under uncultured bacterium. Its description in RNAcentral is "partial 16S ribosomal RNA". It matches the Rfam family "Bacterial small subunit ribosomal RNA", at positions 524 to 776 of the family's 1533-position model. The record is from RNAcentral.
UACGUAGGGUGCAAGCGUUAAUCGGAAUUACUGGGCGUAAAGCGUGCGCAGGCGGUUAUGUAAGACAGGUGUGAAAUCCCCGGGCUUAACCUGGGAACUGCAGUCGAGACUGCUUUGCUUGAGUAUGGGAGAGGGAGGUGGAAUUUCCGGUGUAGUGGUGAAAUGCGUAGAGAUCGGGAGGAACACCCGUGGCGAAGGCGGCCAGCUGGGCCGGACCUGACGCUGAGGCGCGAAAGCGUGGGGAGCAAACAGG